GUGGGGAUAGCUCAGUGGUAAAGCGUGUGCCUGGCAUGCACAAGGUCCUGGGUUCAAUCCCCAGUGCCUCCG
This is a transfer RNA of Camelus ferus (Wild Bactrian camel), 72 nucleotides long. It matches the Rfam family "tRNA". From Rfam's summary of the family: Transfer RNA (tRNA) molecules are approximately 80 nucleotides in length. Their secondary structure includes four short double-helical elements and three loops (D, anti-codon, and T loops). Lineage: Eukaryota; Metazoa; Chordata; Mammalia; Artiodactyla; Camelidae. The record is from Rfam.